Molecule: non-coding RNA, 315 nt
Organism: Pelobates cultripes (western spadefoot toad)
Lineage: Eukaryota; Metazoa; Chordata; Amphibia; Anura; Pelobatidae
Source: the annotation of a GenBank genome assembly
GUUUUAUUAGAAUUGAGUUUGGUGUAUUAUGAGUAACUUCCAUGUAAUUAGAAUUCUGUAGUGCCAUUUGAAGUGUGUAACCUUCCCCCACUCUCUUUUUUCUACCUCCGGUCCAUAUAUACUGAAUUUAUGCCCCUUGAAAGAGACUCUGUAAAAGAAAAAGAGAUGUGUGACUUGUGAAUUGAGGAUUUUGAGUACUUCCGGGUUUCGGCGGUGGAACGCAUGCGAGAUGGACGGGCGCAUAGGAUGACGUCAUAGAAACUGGCCGCCGGACCGAAAACACCUGGAUCGAAUAAAGAGUUUUGUGGACAUUGG